UUGAACGCUGGCGGCAUGCCUUACACAUGCAAGUCGAACGGUAGAGGGGCAACCCUUGAGAGUGGCGAACGGGUGAGUAAUAUAUCGGAACGUGCCCAGUCGUGGGGGAUAACGCAGCGAAAGCUGCGCUAAUACCGCAUACGAUCUAUGGAUGAAAGCGGGGGAUCGCAAGACCUCGCGCGAUUGGAGCGGCCGAUAUCAGAUUAGGUAGUUGGUGGGGUAAAAGGCCCACCAAGCCGACGAUCUGUAGCUG
RNAcentral lists this ribosomal RNA (253 nucleotides) under uncultured bacterium. RNAcentral describes it as "partial 16S ribosomal RNA". It matches the Rfam family "Bacterial small subunit ribosomal RNA", at positions 30 to 289 of the family's 1533-position model. The record is from RNAcentral.